AGCAGCCGCGGUAAUACAGAGGGUGCAAGCGUUAAUCGGAAUUACUGGGCGUAAAGCGCGCGUAGGUGGUUUGUUAAGUUGGAUGUGAAAGCCCCGGGCUCAACCUGGGAACUGCAUCCAAAACUGGCAAGCUAGAGUACGGUAGAGGGUGGUGGAAUUUCCUGUGUAGCGGUGAAAUGCGUAGAUAUAGGAAGGAACACCAGUGGCGAAGGCGACCACCUGGACUGAUACUGACACUGAGGUGCGAAAGCGUGGGGAGCAAACAGGAUUAGAUACCCCUGUAGUCCCUGUCUCUUAUACA
RNAcentral lists this ribosomal RNA (301 nucleotides) under uncultured bacterium. Its description in RNAcentral is "partial 16S ribosomal RNA". It matches the Rfam family "Bacterial small subunit ribosomal RNA", at positions 510 to 808 of the family's 1533-position model. The record is from RNAcentral.